ACACGUUGGCCAACUACCCCUACAGACCGCGAUAACCUCGGGAAAACUGAGGCCAAUAGCGGAAUACAGCUCUCAUGCUGGAGUGCCGAGAGCUGGAAACGUUCCGGCGCUGUAGGAUGUGGCUGCGGCCGAUUAGGUAGAUGGUGGGGUAACGGCCCACCAUGCCGAUAAUCGGUACGGGUUGUGAGAGCAAGAGCCUGGAGACGGUAUCUGAGACAAGAUACCGGGCCCUACGGGGCGCAGCAGGCGCGAAACCUUUACACUGCACGACAGUGCGAUAGAGGGACUCCGAGUGUGAGGGCAUAUAGCCCUCGCUUUUCUGUACCGUAAGGUGGUACAGGAAUAAGGACUGGGCAAGACCGGUGCCAGCCGCCGCGGUAAUACCGGCAGUCCAAGUGAUGGCCGAUAUUAUUGGGCCUAAAGCGUCCGUAGCCUGCUGUGUAAGUCCAUUGGGAAAUCGACCAGCUCAACUGGUCGACGUCCGGUGGAAACUACACAGCUUGGGGCCGAGAGACUCGACGGGUACGUCCGGGGUAGGAGUGAAAUCCUGUAAUCCUGGACGGACCACCAAUGGCGAAAGCACGUCGAGAGACCGGACCCGACGGUGAGGGACGAAAGCCAGGGUCUCGAACCGGAUUAGAUACCCGGGUAGUCCUGGCUGUAAACAAUGCUCGCUAGGUAUGUCACGCGCCAUGAGCACGUGAUGUGCC
This 710-nucleotide ribosomal RNA is filed under the name uncultured archaeon. Its description in RNAcentral is "bacterial SSU rRNA". It matches the Rfam family "Archaeal small subunit ribosomal RNA", at positions 96 to 802 of the family's 1478-position model. The record is from RNAcentral.